UGCGCCGCUAGCUCAGUUGGUCAGAGCAGCUGACUCUUAAUCAGCGGGUCCGGGGUUCGAGUCCCUGGCGGCGCACCCA
This 79-nucleotide transfer RNA is filed under the name Nonomuraea coxensis DSM 45129. RNAcentral describes it as "tRNA-Lys". It matches the Rfam family "tRNA". Rfam says of the family: Transfer RNA (tRNA) molecules are approximately 80 nucleotides in length. The record is from RNAcentral. Lineage: Bacteria; Bacillati; Actinomycetota; Actinomycetes; Streptosporangiales; Streptosporangiaceae.